RNAcentral lists this long non-coding RNA (673 nucleotides) under Pectinophora gossypiella (pink bollworm). Its description in RNAcentral is "uncharacterized LOC126377951". Lineage: Eukaryota; Metazoa; Arthropoda; Insecta; Lepidoptera; Gelechiidae. The record is from RNAcentral.
GCAACAUUUUGUGAUGACGUCACAACAGCUGUAGGUACGUGCCAUUUUUCGCCAUUUUAUGCGCUGUGUUUUGUGGUACUUCUGCUGUCAAGUAGCUGUUUAUGAGAUCGUAUUUUGUGUUUUGCGGAUAAAUUACGAGGAUUUGAUUUGCUAAAUCGAAGUUGAAGUUGAAAAAAGUGUUAUUCAACAUGUCCGUGUAUUGUAUUGUACAGUGUGGUGCCAGAAAGGACAGAAAUCAACCGUAUUUGUCACUUCAUAGGCCAUCUUUCAAUCCAAAAUUGUCGACUGGAUUUACUGAAACAGGUGAUAUUGGAAAACUAAUCCACAGCUGCAACGUCGUCUGUGCUGCCAUUGCCCGUACGUCUGUCUCAUAAGUCAGUACAUGAAAAGUCUGUUCAAGAAGACGCGAUGAAAAAAUUAAAAGAUAGCCAAUUUGAAGAAUAUUAUGGAAGAUCUGCAGAAUAAAAAUCAAAUAAUAAAGGGCAAAGUGUAUUGAUGGAAGAAUUGGCAGGACCGCAAGACUUUUUGAAAAGGCAGGUAAACAAAUUUCAAGGUUUACCUUUGCCAAAGAAGUAUUCCCAAGAAAUAAGAAAGUUUGCUUUAACUUUACAUUUUCUUUCUCCGAAAGCGUAUAAUAAUUAUAUAUGCAAUGUGACAGGGUAUCACAAAGACA